This is a long non-coding RNA of Sardina pilchardus (European sardine), 589 nucleotides long. RefSeq lists it as uncharacterized. The transcript is spliced from 3 exons. The record is from RefSeq and is a predicted model, not a curated record. Lineage: Eukaryota; Metazoa; Chordata; Actinopteri; Clupeiformes; Clupeidae.
GGGAGGUGACCCCACCAACCACCGGCCUGCGAGCUGCAGUUUGGCCAGUACAGGGGUCAGACAUUCCAGUGGCUACUCGGCAACGACGUGGGAUACGCUGUGACCAUCAUUGUAUCCCACAAGGGAGAGGGAGAAGCAGGGGACAAACCUGAAAAAGUAUGUGCUGACCAGGGAUGUGGAGAAGGCAGCACAACCGCCCCUGGGCACUGUCGGUCCACCUGUUGACUAGGGUCCAUCGGAUGCCACUCUUCUCGCUGCCGCCAUGGAGGUCGACUCGUGCAGGCAUGCCCCACCAGCCGUGACCCCCUUCUCCCUCUCCCAACCACCAGAACGUCCCCUUCUGGACACACCAGCCUCUGGCGCUCAGAUUUUUUUUUUCUAGCAAGACCACCCUUGUCAGCCACUCCGCAUUACUCCCGGCAGAGACAGGUGUCUUGUCCUACUUACACCCCACCCGUGGCCUGCACCUUGACGUGGUUGACAGGCCUCAAUGAACAGUGGACAGUGAGACAGUGCUAGACAGUGGUCUACCUUUGGACUUGCACCAACGAGACAUGGACACUGAAACUUGAUUUCUCUUAAUGAAUAU